GUUGGGUAGGGGAGCGUUCUGUAAGCCUGCGAAGGUGUACUGUGAGGUAUGCUGGAGGUAUCAGAAGUGCGAAUGCUGACAUAAGUAACGAUAAUGCGGGUGAAAAACCCGCACGCCGGAAGACCAAGGGUUCCUGUCCAACGUUAAUCGGGGCAGGGUGAGUCGACCCCUAAGGCGAGGCUGAAAAGCGUAGUCGAUGGGAAACGGGUUAAUAUUCCCGUACUGGUGGUAACUGCGAUGGGGGAACGGAGAAGGCUAGGUUGUCCGGGCGACGGUCGUCCCGGUUCAAGCAGGUAGGCAGAGUGAUUAGGCAAAUCCGGUCACUUAAUGCUGAGAUGUGAUGACGAACCACUAAGGUGGUGAAGCAAUUGAUGCCCCGCUUCCAGGAAAAGCCUCUAAGCUUCAGGUUACCAACAAUCGUACCCCAAACCGACACAGGUGGUCAGGUAGAGAAUACUCAGGCGCUUGAGAGAACUCGGGUGAAGGAACUAGGCAAAAUGGUGCCGUAACUUCGGGAGAAGGCACGCUGGCGGUAGGUAAAGUCCCU
This 547-nucleotide ribosomal RNA is filed under the name Proteus mirabilis. RNAcentral's name for it is "partial 23S ribosomal RNA". It matches the Rfam family "Bacterial large subunit ribosomal RNA", at positions 1223 to 1770 of the family's 2925-position model. Lineage: Bacteria; Pseudomonadati; Pseudomonadota; Gammaproteobacteria; Enterobacterales; Morganellaceae. The record is from RNAcentral.